UGAACCUCCUCUGUUGUCUGUCUAGAAACGGUGCUGUUACAGAUACUGCUUGUGUUUAUCAUCAUGAACCUCCUCUGUUGUCUGUCUAGAAACGGUGCUGUUACAGAUACUGCUUGUGUUUAUCAUCAUGAACCUCCUCUGUCGUCUGUCUAGAAACGGUGCUGUUACAGAUACUGCUUGUGUUUAUCAUCAUGAACCUCCUCUGUUGUCUGUCUAGAAACGGUGCUGUUACAGAUACUGCUUGUGUUUAUCAUCAUGUGAUGGAAGAUUAGAACAUGUACCUUGAUGUUUAAUGUGAAAACAAGGUUCAUUUCAUUCUAAUUGUGAAGAUGAAUCAAAACAUUUAGGCAUUAAAGUCAAUACAUUGAAGCAAGGUGUUAGGUUGUAAACAGAUGACCUCAAACGAAUGCAGAGAAAAGCUCAAACAGAGUUCAUUCACCCCACUGAAUGCUGCAUUUAUAUGCCAUAGCUUGCACAUAACCAAACAAUAAUUGAUACGUCAAGACAAAGGUAGGGGUGUGACUUCUCAGAAAUGUCCUUCUGUUUCCCAGAACUGCCUGUUGGUCUGUUGUUGAGCGGCUGGUAUCACCCCUCCCCCAUUAUCCCCCAUGUUGCUCCACCUCCUUGUGGGAGGAGCCAGGCGAGGUCACAGAUCAGCUUCCACUGCCAACAAGGAACACAACUUCUUAACCCAUUACAUUGGUGUCAACCAUACUUUUAUUCAGUCUAAUCCAGAGAACCCAGUUGUAAAUCUUUUUUUUAUCAUAACAAACUGUGUCUAAAGUUUCCAGACAUAUAUUUUAGAGUUUAACAGUUGGUAAUAAAUCAGUAUUUCUGAUGUUUUUCUUGUUUUGUUUGUUCAUCCUGUUUUGACCUCCAGACUCCUCCAUCUCAUCCCACCAACUCUGUCAGUCCACCAAGUCCCACAAUGCACCUCCACACCACUGCAGUAACAGCCAUAUCUUCACAUCUCAAAGCUUCAGUACCAUCUCAAUGUGUUGAAGUACCAUCCAGGAUCCUGUGGCAAAGUCAAUAUGAAACAGCACUGACCCGUGAUCACCACCAACCAGGGCUCCACAGCGGUUGUCUUGGACACCCAGUGAAACAGCACUGACCCGUGAUCACCACCAACCAGGGCUCCACAGCGGUUGCCUUGGACACCCAGUGAAACAGCACUGACCCGUGAUCACCACCAACCAGGGAUCCACAGCUGGUUGCCUUGGACACCCA
Molecule: long non-coding RNA, 1230 nt
Organism: Oncorhynchus nerka (sockeye salmon)
Lineage: Eukaryota; Metazoa; Chordata; Actinopteri; Salmoniformes; Salmonidae
Exons: 3
Source: RefSeq, a predicted model, not a curated record